Molecule: ribosomal RNA, 257 nt
Filed under: uncultured bacterium
Lineage: Bacteria
Description: partial 16S ribosomal RNA
Rfam family: Bacterial small subunit ribosomal RNA
Source: RNAcentral
GUAUCCUGGCUCAGGAUGAACGCUGGCGGCGUGCUUAACACAUGCAAGUCGAACGGGAAAUAUUUUAUUGAAGCUUCGGUUGAUUUAAUUUAUUUCUAGUGGCGGACGGGUGAGUAACGCGUGGGUAACCUGCCUUAUACUGGGGGAUAACAGCCAGAAAUGACUGCUAAUACCGCAUAAGCGCACAGAACCGCAUGGUCCGGUGUGAAAAACUCCGGUGGUAUAAGAUGGACCCGCGUUGGAUUAGCUGGUUGGCG